UCUACUUCUCAUACAUAAAGGUGAAUCUUCUCCUUUACACAUGUUCACUUGACCCCUUCGAGGAUGGUAUACUACUUGACACUCCACUCGUGUGCAUGCAUAGGUAUUGUCGGAGCUUCACGAACGACGAGGAGGAGUGCAAGCGCCAAGGAACGCCUACACCAUCCGCGAGGGAAGCAUGGAAGUGAAGACGGAAGAAGAAGGACCUGCCCAGUCCAGAAAGGGAGGUACUACCGCCCAAAGCAAGCGGUACUACCGCUCAAGCGGUAGUACCGCCCAUGAGUCCGGUACUACCACCCUGCCUGUGCGCAGCCGCGGGCCUUUGGCCUUGUAUCCCUCUCCCACUUACCCCUUCAUGGCUUAGACUAUAAAUAGACCACCUCCACCUCCUUUUUAGGGUUAGCAAAGUGAUAGCUCAUUUGUAUAUGAGCUUUGCUCCUACCUAUCUCUACUCUUGAGAGAGAGAGACCACUACUCCAUUGGAGGCCAAGACCUCCAUCUAGGAGAAGAUCCUACGAGAUAUCAUCAAGACCCCCUCGUGGGAAGAUCCGUCUAGGAUAUCAUCAAGACCUCCUCUUGGAGAUGAACCUUGCCUUGUAUCUUUCCCUUUGUUGUUCAUGUACCUUGUGAUCUUUUGUAUUUGAUUGUCUAGUGGAUGUGUGAUUGGACUUGUUCUUGAGUGUUUCACUUUGUGAUUUCUCCCCGUUCUUCCCCGUGUUCUUCAUGCUCUUCGAGGGAUCCCACUCCAAACAUGAAAGAUCGGCCUACACCGGGUUAGCCCCAUAUCGAUGAUGUGGAGCAUCCUAUGGACAUCACCAUGUCAAGAGUCUGUUCGGCAAGUGACACAUGCGACAUCUACUUCUCAUACAUAAAGGUGAAUCUUAUCCUUUACACGUGUUCACUUGACCCCUUCGAGGAUGGUAUACUACUUGACACUUCUCCCGUGUGCAUGCAUAGGUACUGUUGGAGCUUCACGGAUGUCGAGGAGGAGUGCAAGCGCCAAGGAACCACUACACCAUCCGUGAGGGAAGCCUGGAAGCGAAGACGGAAGAAGAAGGACCUGCCUAGUCCAGAAAGGGCGGUACUACCGCCCAAAGC
Molecule: long non-coding RNA, 1098 nt
Filed under: Triticum aestivum (bread wheat)
Lineage: Eukaryota; Viridiplantae; Streptophyta; Magnoliopsida; Poales; Poaceae
Description: long non-coding RNA (TAES_LNC022404)
Source: RNAcentral